RNAcentral lists this ribosomal RNA (468 nucleotides) under uncultured bacterium. RNAcentral describes it as "partial 16S ribosomal RNA". It matches the Rfam family "Bacterial small subunit ribosomal RNA", at positions 29 to 507 of the family's 1533-position model. The record is from RNAcentral.
ACGAACGCUGGCGGCGUGCUUAACGCAUGCAAGUCGAACGGAAAGGCCCUGCUUGCCGGGUGCUCGAGUGGCGAACGGGUGAGUAACACGUGGGUGAUCUGCCCCUUACUUUGGGAUGAGCCUGGGAAACUGGGUCUAAUACUGGAUAGGACCAUGCUGUAGGUGGUGUGGUGGAAAGAUUAGUUUCGGUAAGGGAUGAGCUCGCGGCCUAUCAGCUUGUUGGUGGGGUAAUGGCCUACCAAGGCGUCGACGGGUAGCCGGCCUGAGAGGGUGGACGGCCACAUUGGGACUGAGAUACGGCCCAGACUCCUACGGGAGGCAGCAGUGGGGAAUAUUGCACAAUGGGCGCAAGCCUGAUGCAGCGACGCCGCGUGGGGGAUGACGGCCUUCGGGUUGUAAACUCCUUUCAGCCAUGACGAAGCCCUUGUGGUGACGGUAGUGGUAGAAGAAGCACCGGCUAACUACGUG